RNAcentral lists this ribosomal RNA (253 nucleotides) under uncultured bacterium. RNAcentral describes it as "partial 16S ribosomal RNA". It matches the Rfam family "Bacterial small subunit ribosomal RNA", at positions 524 to 776 of the family's 1533-position model. The record is from RNAcentral.
UACAGAGGGGGCAAGCGUUGUUCGGAAUUACUGGGCGUAAAGAGCUCGUAGGCGGCCAGUUGCGUCUGCUGUGAAAUCCCGGGGCUCAACCCCGGGCGUGCAGUGGAUACGGGCUGGCUAGAGGCAGGCAGGGGAGAACGGAAUUCCCGGUGUAGCGGUGAAAUGCGCAGAUAUCGGGAGGAACACCGGUGGCGAAGGCGGUUCUCUGGGCCUGUACUGACGCUGAGGAGCGAAAGCGUGGGGAGCGAACAGG